Molecule: long non-coding RNA, 993 nt
Filed under: Heterocephalus glaber (naked mole-rat)
Lineage: Eukaryota; Metazoa; Chordata; Mammalia; Rodentia; Bathyergidae
Description: lncRNA (ENSHGLG00100046049.1)
Source: RNAcentral
CGGCCCCGUGGGCCCCAGUGUUGGGGGUGAGUUUGACCCCGGUUGGAGAGAGCUACCCCUGGGCAGGUGCUUCCUUGGCCUCGCCCCUGUGCAGCCCCCAUUUCCACGCCCUGGAAGUGACCCCUGCCGGGAGAAAGUGGGAGCAUUUGGGAGCAUGGUAGCGGCAGGCUUGUGGCGGACACGCGGACCGUGCCUGUGCGAAACCUUCAGAACCCGCAUUCGCCCCAGCCGCUCCUGGACCCAGGUCCACCCGUGCCGGAUCCCUCCCUGGCCACCUUCUGGUCCAGACCUGACUGUCACCUGCUCCACAUUUUCCUGGCUCCCCUGCUCGAUCCCGGCCUCCCAGGGAGCCGAUCUGGUGGGAUCAGACUUGGGAUUUUCAAAGGGAAAAAAGCUGAAUUUUCUUCUUUAGAGUUUUUGUUCUUAUAUCUGACUCCUGCUUUGCAAAAGCAUCGUGUUCAUUUUGGAAGCAGCUGUGAUGCUUGUUUCUCCAGGAGACAAAUUAAUAAAUUAAGAAGUCACCGCCACUGCCAGGCACCAGUCCCCCUCAGGAUCACUGGAUGUGAGGGGGGCCCGGUCCCCGAGCUCCCGCAUCGUGUUUCAGUGUCAUUGGAAAGGACACAGACUUCAGGGUGGUUCACGGCUGCUUCCAAGGUGUGGCAGUGUGGACAGCACCUGUCCCACUCCCCUCGAGGUGUCUGUGUGCGCACAGGGACAUUUAAACGCCCACAGAGAUACGUACUGAGCGCCUAGCUGUGGCCGGGAGGGGCAGGGCCUGGUAAACCCAGUGGGCAGGCAGGUGGCACAGGCAGUGUCUGAGGAGGGGUCUCUUGAGCAGAGACUCAUGCUAUGAGGGCCUUGCUGGCCAUCAGGGUGAGCUUGACCCAGAAGCUGCCGGCAAGGCCAGAGGUCCUGGCUGGAACUGGGCCGUGUCUGUAGGGUGGGGAGUGCCCAGGCACUGGCGAGCACUGAAAAUAGAGCCAGGCCCUGGAG